This 472-nucleotide ribosomal RNA is filed under the name Hungerfordia sp. C. Its description in RNAcentral is "partial 16S ribosomal RNA". It matches the Rfam family "Bacterial large subunit ribosomal RNA", at positions 1851 to 2584 of the family's 2925-position model. The record is from RNAcentral. Lineage: Eukaryota; Metazoa; Mollusca; Gastropoda; Architaenioglossa; Diplommatinidae.
AGUCUGACCUGCCCGAUGAUGAUUUGAAUGGCUGCAGUAUACUGACUGUACAAAGGUAGCGUAAUAAUUUGUCUUAUAAUUGGAGAAUAGAAUGAAUGGUUUAAUAAAGGUGUGGCUGUCUCUUAAUAUAUUUGUUUGAAGUUAAUUUUCAGGUUAAAAAGCUUGGAUGAGAUUAAAGGACGAGAAGACCCUAUUGAGCUUAAAUUGGCAGCGAUGUUAAUAGGGUAUGAGUUUAAGAUUUAUUAAUAAAUUGUAUAGUUUUAGUUGGGGCGACUAAGGAGUAGAUGAAGCUUCCUUUAAGUGGUUUAAAAAGUUGUUUAUUGAUCCAGUUGUUUUGAAUUAAAAUCAAGUUACCAUAGGGAUAACAGCGUUAUCUUUUUUGAGAGUUCUUAUCGAUAGAAGGGAUUGCGACCUCGAUGUUGGAUUAGGGUUUAAUAAAGGUUGUAGAAGCUUUUAUGGUUAGUCUGUUCGA